GCCGGGCAUGGUGGUGCAUGCCUGUAGUCCCAGCUACUAGGGAGGCUGAGGCUGGAGGAUCACUUGAGCCAGGAGUUCUGGGCUGCAGUGCACUAUGCCAAUCAGGUGUCCGAACUAAGUUCGGCAUCAAUAUGGUGACCUCCCGGGGAUCAGGGAACCACUAGGUUGCCUAAGGAGGGGUGAACCAGCCCAGGUCAGAAACGGAGCAGAUCAAAACUCCCAUGCUGAUCAGUAGUGGGAUUGCACCUGUGAAUAGCCACUGCACUCCAGCCUGGGCAAUAUAGUAAGACCCCAUCUUU
Molecule: signal recognition particle RNA, 299 nt
Filed under: Cebus imitator (Panamanian white-faced capuchin)
Lineage: Eukaryota; Metazoa; Chordata; Mammalia; Primates; Cebidae
Description: Metazoan signal recognition particle RNA (ENSCCAG00000007159.1)
Rfam family: Metazoan signal recognition particle RNA
About the family: The signal recognition particle (SRP) is a universally conserved ribonucleoprotein.
Source: RNAcentral